Molecule: ribosomal RNA, 1379 nt
Filed under: uncultured bacterium
Lineage: Bacteria
Description: bacterial SSU rRNA
Rfam family: Bacterial small subunit ribosomal RNA
Source: RNAcentral
UCAGGAUGAACGCUAGCUACAGGCUUAACACAUGCAAGUCGAGGGGCAGCGCAGUGCAGCAAUGCACGGGCGGCGACCGGCGCACGGGUGCGUAACGCGUAUCCAACCUUCCCGUUACUCUUGGAUAGCCUUCCGAAAGGGAGAUUAAUACAGGAUGGUGUUCAAAUUCCGCAUGUUAUUUGAACUAAAGAUUUAUCGGUAACGGAUGGGGAUGCGUGACAUUAGGUAGAUGGCGGGGUAACGGCCCACCAUGCCUACGAUGUCUAGGGGUUCUGAGAGGAAGGUCCCCCACACUGGAACUGAGACACGGUCCAGACUCCUACGGGAGGCAGCAGUGAGGAAUAUUGGUCAAUGGUCGGAAGACUGAACCAGCCAAGUAGCGUGAAGGAUGAAGGUUCUAUGGAUUGUAAACUUCUUUUAUACGGGAAUAAAGCCCACUACGUGUAGUGGUUUGUAUGUACCGUAUGAAUAAGCAUCGGCUAACUCCGUGCCAGCAGCCGCGGUAAUACGGAGGAUGCGAGCGUUAUCCGGAUUUAUUGGGUUUAAAGGGAGCGUAGACGGGAUGUUAAGUCAGUUGUGAAAGGCUGCGGCUCAACCGCAGCACUGCAGUUGAUACUGGCGUCCUUGAGUGCGGUUGAGGUGUGUGGAAUUCGUGGUGUAGCGGUGAAAUGCUUAGAUAUCACGAAGAACUCCGAUUGCGAAGGCAGCGUACCAAUCCGUAACUGACGUUGAUGCUCGAAAGUGUGGGUAUCAAACAGGAUUAGAUACCCUGGUAGUCCACACGGUAAACGAUGGAUACUCGCUGUUGGCGAUACAAUGUCAGCGGCCAAGUGAAAACGUUAAGUAUCCCACCUGGGGAGUACGCCGGCAACGGUGAAACUCAAAGGAAUUGACGGGGGCCCGCACAAGCGGAGGAACAUGUGGUUUAAUUCGAUGAUACGCGAGGAACCUUACCCGGGCUCAAACGACAGGGGAAUAUGCGUGAAAGCGCAUAGCUAGCAAUAGUCGCUGUCGAGGUGCUGCAUGGUUGUCGUCAGCUCGUGCCGUGAGGUGUCGGCUUAAGUGCCAUAACGAGCGCAACCCCUGCCUUCAGUUGCUAACAGUUAAGCUGAGGACUCUGGAGGGACUGCCGGCGCAAGCCGUGAGGAAGGAUGGGAUGACGUCAAAUCAGCACGGCCCUUACGUCCGGGGCGACACACGUGUUACAAUGGUCGGCACAGCGGGAAGCCAUAUGGUGACAUAGAGCGGAACCCGAAAGCCGGUCUCAGUUCGGAUCGGAGUCUGCAACUCGACUCCGUGAAGCUGGAUUCGCUAGUAAUCGCGCAUCAGCCAUGGCGCGGUGAAUACGUUCCCGGGCCUUGCACUCACCGCCCGUCAAG